This 485-nucleotide ribosomal RNA is filed under the name uncultured bacterium. RNAcentral's name for it is "partial 16S ribosomal RNA". It matches the Rfam family "Bacterial small subunit ribosomal RNA", at positions 30 to 507 of the family's 1533-position model. The record is from RNAcentral.
AUUGAACGCUGGCGGCAUGCCUUACACAUGCAAGUCGAACGGCAGCACGGGUGCUUGCACCUGGUGGCGAGUGGCGAACGGGUGAGUAAUACAUCGGAACAUGUCCUGUAGUGGGGGAUAGCCCGGCGAAAGCCGGAUUAAUACCGCAUACGAUCUACGGAUGAAAGCGGGGGCCCUUCGGCCCCCGCGCUUUCGGGUUUGCCGCUGGCUGAUUAGCUAGUUGGUGGGUAAAGGCCUACCAAGGCGACGAUCAGUAGCUGGUCUGAGAGGACGACCAGCCACACUGGGACUGAGACACGGCCCAGACUCCUACGGGAGGCAGCAGUGGGGAAUUUUGGACAAUGGGCGAAAGCCUGAUCCAGCAAUGCCGCGUGUGUGAAGAAGGCCUUCGGGUUGUAAAGCACUUUUGUCCGGAAAGAAAUCCUUGGCCCUAAUACGGUCGGGGGAUGACGGUACCGGAAGAAUAAGCACCGGCUAACUACGUG